CCCUACGGGGGGCAGCAGUAGGGAAUAUUGCUCAAUGGGGGAAACCCUGAAGCAGCAACGCCGCGUGGAGGAUGAAGGUUUUCGGAUUGUAAACUCCUUUUAGUAGAGAAGAUAAUGACGGUAUCUAACGAAAAAGCACCGGCUAACUCCGUGGCAGCAGCCGCGGGAAUACGGAGGGUGCAAGCGUUACUCGGAAUCACUUGGCGUAAAGAGCACGGAGGAGGGAUAGCAAGUCA
RNAcentral lists this ribosomal RNA (236 nucleotides) under uncultured bacterium. RNAcentral describes it as "partial 16S ribosomal RNA". It matches the Rfam family "Bacterial small subunit ribosomal RNA", at positions 337 to 590 of the family's 1533-position model. The record is from RNAcentral.